This 29-nucleotide non-coding RNA is filed under the name Xenopus tropicalis (tropical clawed frog). RNAcentral also lists the same sequence under 2 other names. Lineage: Eukaryota; Metazoa; Chordata; Amphibia; Anura; Pipidae. The record is from RNAcentral.
GCUCAGUCGGUAGAGCAUCAGACUUUUAA